This 497-nucleotide ribosomal RNA is filed under the name uncultured bacterium. RNAcentral describes it as "partial 16S ribosomal RNA". It matches the Rfam family "Bacterial small subunit ribosomal RNA", at positions 28 to 507 of the family's 1533-position model. The record is from RNAcentral.
GAUGAACGCUGGCGGCGUGCCUAAUACAUGCAAGUCGAGCGAACGGACGAGAAGCUUGCUUCUCUGAUGUUAGCGGCGGACGGGUGAGUAACACGUGGAUAACCUACCUAUAAGACUGGGAUAACUUCGGGAAACCGGAGCUAAUACCGGAUGAUAUUUUGAACCGCAUGGUUCAAAAGUGAAAGACGGUCUUGCUGUCACUUAUAGAUGGAUCCGCGCUGCAUUAGCUAGUUGGUAAGGUAACGGCUUACCAAGGCAACGAUGCAUAGCCAACCUGAGAGGGUGAUCGGCCACACUGGAACUGAGACACGGUCCAGACUCCUACGGGAGGCAGCAGUAGGGAAUCUUCCGCAAUGGGCGAAAGCCUGACGGAGCAACGCCGCGUGAGUGAUGAAGGUCUUCGGAUCGUAAAACUCUGUUAUUAGGGAAGAACAUAUGUGUAAGUAACUGUGCACAUCUUGACGGUACCUAAUCAGAAAGCCACGGCUAACUACGUG